Pongo abelii (Sumatran orangutan) is the source of this 107-nucleotide small nuclear RNA. The record is from Ensembl. Lineage: Eukaryota; Metazoa; Chordata; Mammalia; Primates; Hominidae.
GUGCUCACUUCAGCAGCGCAUAAACUGGAAUUGGAAUAAUACUGAGAAGAUGAGCAUGGCUCCUGUGCAAGGAUGACAUGCAAAUUUGUGAAGUGUUCCAUAUUUCU